AGCGAACGCUGGCGGCAGGCCUAACACAUGCAAGUCGAACGAACCCUCCGUGGGUACUUGCGGAUGGGGGAGGAACACGGGGGAAGGUGCAGGUAUGCACGGAAUAACUCAUUUAAACUGGGGCUAAUACCGAAUGUGCCCUUCUGGGGAAAGAUUUAUCGUCUUUAGGGCGGCAGGCGUCCGUUUAGCUAGUUGGUUGUGGUAAUGGCGCACCAAGGCUACGAACAGUAGCUGGUCUGAGAGGAUGAUCAGACACAUCGGCACUGAGACGCGGCCCAGAAUCCUACGCGAUGGAGCAGUGGGUAAUCUAGCGAAACGGGCUAAAGCAUGACGCAGCCAUGCCGCGUGAAUGAUGUAGGUGUUAGGAAUGUAAAAUUCUUUCACCGGGGACGAUAAUGACGGUACCCGGAGAAGAAGCCCCGGCUAACUUCGUG
This 434-nucleotide ribosomal RNA is filed under the name uncultured bacterium. RNAcentral describes it as "partial 16S ribosomal RNA". It matches the Rfam family "Bacterial small subunit ribosomal RNA", at positions 29 to 507 of the family's 1533-position model. The record is from RNAcentral.